This 463-nucleotide ribosomal RNA is filed under the name uncultured Pseudomonas sp. RNAcentral's name for it is "bacterial SSU rRNA". It matches the Rfam family "Bacterial small subunit ribosomal RNA", at positions 923 to 1382 of the family's 1533-position model. Lineage: Bacteria; Pseudomonadati; Pseudomonadota; Gammaproteobacteria; Pseudomonadales; Pseudomonadaceae. The record is from RNAcentral.
GCACAAGCGGUGGAGCAUGUGGUUUAAAUUCGAAGCAACGCGAAGAACCUUACCAGGCCUUUGACAUGCAGAGAACUUUCCAGAGAUGGGAUUGGUGCCUCGGGAACUCUGACACAGGUGCUGCAUGGCUGUCGUCAGCUCGUGUCGUGAGAUGUUGGGUUAAGUCCCGUAACGAGCGCAACCCUUGUCCUUAGUUACCAGCACGUUAUGGUGGGCACUCUAAGGAGACUGCCGGUGACAAACCGGAGGAAGGUGGGGAUGACGUCAAGUCAUCACGGCCCUUACGGCCUGGGCUACACACGUGCUACAAUGGUCGGUACAAAGGGUUGCCAAGCCGCGAGGUGGAGCUAAUCCCAUAAAACCGAUCGUAGUCCGGAUCGCAGUCUGCAACUCGACUGCGUGAAGUCGGAAUCGCUAGUAAUCGUGAAUCAGAAUGUCAACGGUGAAUACGUUCCCGGGCCUU